This 464-nucleotide ribosomal RNA is filed under the name uncultured bacterium. RNAcentral's name for it is "partial 16S ribosomal RNA". It matches the Rfam family "Bacterial small subunit ribosomal RNA", at positions 339 to 795 of the family's 1533-position model. The record is from RNAcentral.
CUACGGGCCGCACCAGUGGGGAAUAUUGCACAAUAGGCGCAAGCCUGAUGCAGCCAUGCCGCGUGUAUGAAGAAGGCCUUCGGGUUGUAAAGUACUUUCAGCGGGGAGGAAGGGAGUAAAGUUAAUACCUUUGCUCAUUGACGUUACCCGCAGAAGAAGCACCGGCUAACUCCGUGCCAGCAGCCGCGGUAAUACGGAGGGUGCAAGCGUUAAUCGGAAUUACUGGGCGUAAAGCGCACGCAGGCGGUUUGUUAAGUCAGAUGUGAAAUCCCCGGGCUCAACCUGGGAACUGCAUCUGAUACUGGCAAGCUUGAGUCUCGUAGAGGGGGGUAGAAUUCCAGGUGUAGCGGUGAAAUGCGUAGAGAUCUGGAGGAAUACCGGUGGCGAAGGCGGCCCCCUGGACGAAGACUGACGCUCAGGUGCGAAAGCGUGGGGAGCAAACAGGAUUAGAUACCCGGGUAGUC